This is a long non-coding RNA of Ictalurus punctatus (channel catfish), 1299 nucleotides long. Lineage: Eukaryota; Metazoa; Chordata; Actinopteri; Siluriformes; Ictaluridae. The record is from Ensembl.
GAUAAUGUGGGGUUGGCGUUUUAGGGGUUAGUUACGUGCUCAUGGAAGAGGUGGGUUUUUAGCUGUUUUUGAAGAUAGUGAGAGAUUCUGUGGUCCGGAUUGAGGUUGGAAGUUCAUUCCACCACUGAGGAACAGAUAGUUUGAAGGUUCUGGAAAGGGACCUUGAGCCACGCCGAGUAGGUACUACUAAGCGUCAGUUGCGUGAGGGAACGUAAGCCUUCAGGAGAGUGUUGAGGUAGGGCGGUGCUGUUCCAGACAAGGUCUUGUACGUGAGCAUCAAGGCCUGGAAUUUGAUACGGGCGUCUACAGGAAGCCAGUGGAGGGGAUGAAGAGGGGUGUGGCAUGGGUUCUCUCGGGCUGGUUGAAGACGAGGCGUGCUGCUGCAUUCUGAAUCAUUUGAAGGGGUUUGAUGGAGCUGGCUGGGAGGCCUGAGAGUAGUGCGUUGCAGUAGUAUAGUUUUGAUAUGACAAGAGCCUGGACUAGUAGCUGUGUAGCCUGUUCGGUGAGAUAUGGUCUGAUUCUCUUGAUGUUAUACAGAAUGAACUUACAGGACCGUGCAGUUGUUGAAAUGUGGUUUGUAAGGGUCAAGCUGUCAUCAAAAGUCACCCCAAGGUUCCUGGCUGUCCUGGUUCGCUUGAGUGUGGUUGAGCCGAGCUGUACGGUGAGGCUGUGGUUGAUUGAGGGGAAGGCUGGGAUGACGAGAAGCUCAGAUUUGGCCAAGUUGAGUUUAAGGUGGUGUUCCCUCAUCCAGUCUGAGAUGUCAGACCGGCAAGCAGAGAUUCGUGCAGACCUUUCAAACGUUUGGCAUGCAAAUAAGUGCCAAUUUCCUGUUCAAACCUCAGCUCAGCUGUGCUUCUGAAUCUAUCUUUUAUUCAUUCAUCUACAUUCUAUUUCUCCUCUUCCUGUUCUUUGGGCUCCGCAUUGUGCUUGCCACGCCUUCCAUACUUGGCCCCUUUAAUCGCUGCUUGCAGCUAUAUUUAUUAUUAUUUCUUCCAAUAAUUAAUAACCACAGUAACCAACCAACCAACUAAAUAAAUAGAUGAAUUUCAGCAACUAAAAAUCUAUCAUCAACACUACAAACCAUGCCAAACAGAUGACUGGUGGAUAAUGUGCUCACUGAAUGAAUCAUACAUGCCAAGACAUCGUCCCGAGGCGGUUUGGAGUGGACUGUGUGUCAAAAAGUCCUGAGUAAGCAGUUAAAAGACUUUGUUAGCAGACUUGCUUGGAGAAGGCGUUUUCCAGUACAACAGCAUUCCACACAUUCCGGCUUCACAUGGACACAAAUCCCUGCAUGCAUCA